This 67-nucleotide transfer RNA is filed under the name Camelus bactrianus (Bactrian camel). It matches the Rfam family "tRNA". From Rfam's summary of the family: Transfer RNA (tRNA) molecules are approximately 80 nucleotides in length. Lineage: Eukaryota; Metazoa; Chordata; Mammalia; Artiodactyla; Camelidae. RNAcentral also lists the same sequence under 1 other name. The record is from Rfam by way of RNAcentral.
GGUCGUAUUGCUCAGUGGUAGAGCAGUGCUUAACAAGAGGUACUAGGUUCAAUUCCUAGUACCUCCA